UGAGAGACAAGGACUGCGAACGCGGGCAGCUACCUCGUGAAUCUCCGAUACUCAACCACGCAUGAGAUCAACGUCCUCCGUGACCGGAUAUACCUGGAUCUGCAAAUGAAGUGCAGCGUGUAGCAUGUGUACAACCAACUCAGUAAAUAACAAAAAUAAAUAAGGAACUGAAAAGUAGUGACGAGCUAUAAAAUUACUGUUCAUUUCAGUAGUUUCAGCAAUGAAAGUAGACAUGAUUCAAUUCCGGCAAUAUAAAUUAAGUCAGUUGUACAUUUACUCAGUUCAGAUAAACCGGAUACAAUAUUUUUUCCAGAAGUCCAGAACAAUGACAUAAUUCAACUAAGUGCAGCAACAAAGGAAACAAAUGCAACCUUUGAGGGUAACAAUCACUCAAUCCGGAAUUACUUCAUUUCAGUUUCUUGAUGUGUUUCUUUCUAUACUAAUUAGUGUUCAAGAGAAGUAAGGAUUUUGAGGUAUUAAUAUAAACUUUGUGCUGAAAAUAGCUGGCCGGUGUCACGAUCCAAAACCCUAACCUGUCGUGAUGACACCUAUCGAUGGUACUAGGCAAGCCGAUUUUUCAAAAUACUUCAAAUAUUUCACAAAAAUAAUAAACCAAAAGCUUGAUAUGACAGAGUUUUCAUAAAGACAAGAGUUAAACUCAAAAUACAACGGGGAAAAAAGCCACAAACAUCGGAGUGUCACCAAGUCAUGAGCAUUUAAACAACCAGUCUAUGAAACAGUGUCCACAAGAGUCGGUGUCUAAAUGCCAAUACAGAAAAGAAAGAUAACAAGAAAGGAGAGACAAGGACUGCGAACGCGGGCAGCUACCUCGUGAAUCUCCGAUACUCAACCACGCACGAGAUCAACGUCCUCCGUGACCGGAUAUACCUGGAUCUGCAAAUGAAGUGCAGCAUGUUGCAUUUGUACAACCAACUCAGUAAAUAACAAAAAUAAAUAAGGAACUGAAAAGUAGUGACGAGCUAUACAAUUACUGUUCACUUCAGUAGUUUCAGCAAUGAAAGUAGACAUGAUUCAAUUCCGGCAAUAUAAAUUAAGUCAGUUGUACAUUUACUCAGUUCAGAUAAACCGGAUACAAUAUUUUUUCCAGAAGUCCAGAACAAUGACAUAAUUCAACUAAGUGCAGCAACAAGGGAAACAAAUGCAACCUUUCAGUGUAACAAUCACUCAAGCCGGAAUUACUUCAUUUCAGUUUCUUGAUGUGUUUCUUUCUAUACUAAUUAGUGUUCAAGAGAAGUAAGGAUUUUGAGGUAUUAAUAUAAACUUUGUGCUGAAAAUAGCUAGCCGGUGUCACGAACCAAAACCCUAACCUGUGGUGAUGACGCCUAUCGAUGGUGCUAGGCAAACCAAU
This 1369-nucleotide long non-coding RNA is filed under the name Nicotiana tabacum (common tobacco). RNAcentral's name for it is "long non-coding RNA (NTAB_LNC006632)". The record is from RNAcentral. Lineage: Eukaryota; Viridiplantae; Streptophyta; Magnoliopsida; Solanales; Solanaceae.